Molecule: ribosomal RNA, 462 nt
Filed under: uncultured bacterium
Lineage: Bacteria
Description: partial 16S ribosomal RNA
Rfam family: Bacterial small subunit ribosomal RNA
Source: RNAcentral
GACGAACGCUGGCGGCGUGCUUAACACAUGCAAGUCGAGCGACGCUCUUCCUUCGGGGAGCUGACGGAGCGGCGAACGGGUGAGUAACACGUGGGCAACCUGCCCCUAGCUCUGGGACAACACCGGGAAACCGGUGCUAAUACCGGAUACGACAUCGAGCGGCAUCUCUCGAUGUGGAAAGUUUUUUCGGCUAGGGAUGGGCCCGCGGCCUAUCAGCUUGUUGGUGGGGUAAUGGCCCACCAAGGCGACGACGGGUAGCCGGCCUGAGAGGGCGACCGGCCACACUGGGACUGAGACACGGCCCAGACUCCUACGGGAGGCAGCAGUGGGGAAGAUUGCGCAAUGGGCGAAAGCCUGACGCAGCGACGCCGCGUGAGGGAUGACGGCCUUCGGGUUGUAAACCUCUUUCAGCAGGGACGAAUUCAGACGGUACCUGCAGAAGAAGCACCGGCCAACUACGUG